RNAcentral lists this long non-coding RNA (2475 nucleotides) under Panax ginseng (ginseng). RNAcentral's name for it is "long non-coding RNA (PGIN_LNC014610)". Lineage: Eukaryota; Viridiplantae; Streptophyta; Magnoliopsida; Apiales; Araliaceae. The record is from RNAcentral.
AGAGACUGAAAAUGCAAUUAAAGGCACCAUUGCAGAGGCCCUUUAGUAAAUUUUAAAAAAAAACAAUAAAAAAAAUAUCCUAUCUCUGGCAAAGCUAAAGAUGACUAAUUUUCCCUUAAAAUUUGAGCAUUACACGUCUGGGCAUUUGAGAAAAUAGAAACCUUAAAGUAGAGGCAUGUUAACGUGGAAAGCCACACAGGUAACAUUACACACAGCUGCCUUUAGGAAUUCUCACCACAAAAAUAAUGUCAUUUUGGUGCAACCUGAUGAAAACUAACAAAAAUUAUCUUUGCAGGUUAUUUGAUCAUGAUAUGAUACAGUCUGAGGCCAUGCGGACAUAAACCAGUCAACGAUAUUAGCAUAAUAAGUACACGUCCAAGUUGUCUGCGAAAAAGGGAGGUGUUAGAAUCUCAUGAAUAUAGAGGAGAAUGGAAAUUUUAGGAAACCUUAACCAAUCUGAACCUGAAUUUGAUAAUCAACGUGGUAUGUGAAAUUGAAUUCCCUCGCUGCAAAUCAUAUGUAAUUGCGGUCUUCAAUUCUUGUGAAUGUUUGAAAAUGCUCUCCAAUUAUUGACCCAGCAAUACUUUCGAGAGGAUUGAAAUUCUGUAGUGUCAUUUUAGCUAUGAGAAAAAAGUAAAUUAAAACAACUAUAUUCAAAAUUAGUCUAACAUAAACAACAAAAGUGUAACAGAUAAGGGUAGAAAAGGUUACAAAUUCUUUCAUGUUAACAAUAUAUCAUGACAGAAGUGCUGCUUGUUUCAAAAAGAAAACUUGUCAACUUGAACAACAUAAGAACCAUUGCAACUUUUCUAUUGCUCUCACUUUAUAGACUAGGGUAUUGUUCAUCAAACUUGCAUUAGUUUAUGUGAUAUAGAACAUUUGAAUGAGCAGUAAAUAUCACUUUCUUAGAACAUUUAUUGGUACUCAAUAUUCAACCUCAUACGAACAGCUGACUACAUGCCACAACCAAGAAAUAUAAAGGGGAAAAAAUAAAUUGCAGGAUCGAGGUAAGAAAAGUCCAGUCAUCGCUUUGAUAUCAAGGGAUUCAAACUAAAAUUAUUACUGUAGACCUAAUUUGAGAAUGGGAAGUGAAUAGCCAAGAAUGUUCAACUCUGCAAUCAGAAAACCCACAAGGUUCAGUUUUGUCAGUGUUGUCUUCUUACUAUAAGCCUCGUGGUGAGUUGAUCAGCAAAAAUGCGUAUAUAGAAGACACAUAAGUUAUGCAUUCUUGUACCUUCACAACUAAUUAAAAUAUACAUUUAACUACAGUCUAAAAUGCAUUAUAUUUGUUUCAAAACCCCAUAUUUCAAUUUUAAACCAUAACUUGAUUUGCCUCUAAUUUACUAGAGUAACUAAGAUGUAUUUGAGCAUAAACCUUUCAACGCUGUGACUACAUUCUUAGAAAAGGGAAAAAAGUCCAAUUUCAUAUUUGAAGGAUUUCCUUUGCUUUUGAGCCAAAAUAACAAGAAUUUACUCCAAGUAUGUUUCAGAUAAAGGAGAAGGCAACAACGUUAGAAGCUAUAAUUUCUAUUAACAGUUGCAGUUUAGCAGGUAAAAAUUGCUUGUAGCCAAGGAGCUAUAGCAACAAAACUAUUUAUAGUUGAUACAAACAAGAAAUUAAAUUGCGAAGUUGUGGAUAGUAUAUGAUAGUUCUGACUUCAGACGGAUGGUAUGGAAAAAUCUUCAGUUCACGCUCACUUUUAAUGCCUAGUAUGCGUUGUGACAUAGAAAAAAAAAUUAAACUAAUCCCUUCAUGGCAAAAUAUGUGGAAAUUCAGCAAUAUGAAAUUAAACUUCCUAUGCUAGUUGUUUGCCAUAUAUAUGCAAUUUUAGUUUAGGAUAUAAAAUAAGUUUCAAGUAAAACAAGCCACGGAUGAAUCCUUCUAGGGCUAUGAGCGGCCAGGCCCAAACUGUUCACAUGAGCUGUUAGCCAACCAGAGGCAGAUAUUAUAACAUAUAAGCAAUCAUAUUGGGAUUUCAUCAUAGUAAUUAAAGAAAGCCACUAUUUUAAUUAUUUGAUAACAUUCCUUUGAACUUUGUCAAUUUAGCAUCAACCCACUUUAGCUAGUAAUAUCAUAAUAUGGGAAUGUGAAUCAAUGCAAGUCCAGUUCUUAAAUUAGUAUAGAACAUAUAUACCAACAAAUAGAAACCACCAAAUUCAAAAGACUAUAUAACUUUGGCUGUGUGCAAUUGAGAAUUGGACACCUCAAUCAUUGUAACAGCUAGGUAUGUCAUCAAAAAACACAUUUUUACAUACUUGAAAAUAAAGGUAGAAGGUGGGUUUUGAUCACCUGGGAAAGCCACCGGAAUCUAGGAGAGGGCGUCAGCGAGGUACAUGGGUAUUUGAAAAUUUAAAGGUAUUGUGGAUUGAUAGUUGCCGUAGAGGAUUUUAUGGAUGAAUCUUUUACUUGGAUGAUAUGUUUGAUGGAGAAUUAGGGUUUCCUUCGGACUGGGAUUCUUCCCAUGGAGUCCGUGG